AAAGUUUCAACAACGGAUCUCUUGGCUCUCGCAUCGAUGAAGAACGCAGCGAAAUGCGAUAAGUAAUGUGAAUUGCAGAAUUCAGUGAAUCAUCGAAUCUUUGAACGCACCUUGCGCUCCUUGGUAUUCCUUGGAGCAUGCCUGUUUGAGUAUCAUGA
RNAcentral lists this ribosomal RNA (158 nucleotides) under fungal sp. 5OL2-13A. RNAcentral's name for it is "5.8S ribosomal RNA". It matches the Rfam family "5.8S ribosomal RNA". From Rfam's summary of the family: 5.8S ribosomal RNA (5.8S rRNA) is a component of the large subunit of the eukaryotic ribosome. It is transcribed by RNA polymerase I as part of the 45S precursor that also contains 18S and 28S rRNA. Functionally, it is thought that 5.8S rRNA may be involved in ribosome translocation. RNAcentral also lists the same sequence under 2 other names. Lineage: Eukaryota; Fungi. The record is from RNAcentral.